UACGUAGGGGCGAGCGUUGUCCGGAAUGAUUGGGCGUAAAGGGCGCGCAGGCGGCCUGUCAAGUCAGUAGUGGAAGUCCAUUUUUCAAGGAUGGAAGUGCUAUAGAAACUGAUGGGCUUGAGUGCAGGAGAGGUUAUCGGAAUUCCCGGUGUAGCGGUGAAAUGCGUAGAGAUCGGGAGGAACACCAGUGGCGAAGGCGGGUAACUGGACUGCAACUGACGCUGAGGCGCGAAAGUGUGGGGAGCAAACAGGAUUAGAUACCCCCCGUAGU
Molecule: ribosomal RNA, 271 nt
Filed under: uncultured prokaryote
Description: partial 16S ribosomal RNA
Rfam family: Bacterial small subunit ribosomal RNA
Source: RNAcentral